GGAAAAGAAACUAACAAGGAUUCCCCUAGUAGCGGCGAGCGAAGCGGGAAGAGCUCAAAUUUAUAAUCUGGCACCUUCGGUGUCCGAGUUGUAAUCUCUAGAAAUGUUUUCCGCGUUGGACCGCACACAAGUCUGUUGGAAUACAGCGGCAUAGUGGUGAGACCCCCGUAUAUGGUGCGGACGCCCAGCGCUUUGUGAUACAUUUUCGAAGAGUCGAGUUGUUUGGGAAUGCAGCUCAAAUUGGGUGGUAAAUUCCAUCUAAAGCUAAAUAUUGGCGAGAGACCGAUAGCGAACAAGUACCGUGAGGGAAAGAUGAAAAGCACUUUGGAAAGAGAGUUAACAGUACGUGAAAUUGUUGGAAGGGAAACGCUUGAAGUCAGACUUGCUUGCCGAGCAAUCGGUUUGCAGGCCAGCAUCAGUUUUCCGGGAUGGAUAAUGGUAGAGAGAAGGUAGCAGUUUCGGCUGUGUUAUAGCUCUCUGCUGGAUACAUCUUGGGGGACUGAGGAACGCAGUGUGCCUUUGGCGGGGGUUUCGACCUC
Molecule: ribosomal RNA, 539 nt
Filed under: Rhodotorula mucilaginosa
Lineage: Eukaryota; Fungi; Basidiomycota; Microbotryomycetes; Sporidiobolales; Sporidiobolaceae
Description: partial large subunit ribosomal RNA
Rfam family: Eukaryotic large subunit ribosomal RNA
Source: RNAcentral